UCAGGACACCCAGCGUUUUAACUCCCUCACCUCAUCCAAGCCUAGCUGCUAAGAUGCCCUGAGGAUUCAAGAGCCUUUCUUCUGGAGAGCUGUCUAGAGCAGAUCUGUGAUCAAGCUAAGUGUUGCUAAGUGACGAUUUAAGAAAAGAGAAUGAAUGAAUGAUGGCCGCAAGUUACAGCAGGCUGCAAGUUGAACAGAAGAACUUUUCUUUGAUAUCAUCAGUCCUUCUCCCCCAGCACGUCCACAGUCGAGUUCCAGGCAGGAGGGAGAGAAAGUACCCAGCCUGAGAAGAGGUCUCGGGGGCACGCUGUCCACACUUCGGGACUCGGGACACUCUGCCAGCUCUGCGGCCCUGCCAGCGAGGGCACCAGACUCUGCCUGCUCCCCUGACAGAGCCCUCGCUGGUCGAGGUGUUAGUGAACCGAUACUGCUUAAAGCUCGACACGAAGACAGUGAUGGCAGAAAUAAAAAGAAUUCCUUGUGUUAA
This is a long non-coding RNA of Lepisosteus oculatus (spotted gar), 487 nucleotides long. RefSeq lists it as uncharacterized. The record is from RefSeq and is a predicted model, not a curated record. Lineage: Eukaryota; Metazoa; Chordata; Actinopteri; Semionotiformes; Lepisosteidae.